This 1445-nucleotide ribosomal RNA is filed under the name Chryseobacterium sp. RNAcentral describes it as "bacterial SSU rRNA". It matches the Rfam family "Bacterial small subunit ribosomal RNA". Lineage: Bacteria; Pseudomonadati; Bacteroidota; Flavobacteriia; Flavobacteriales; Weeksellaceae. The record is from RNAcentral.
UGAUUUCGCCUUGCGGAGCUACACAUGCAAGCCGAGCGGUAGAGUCUCUUCGGGGACUUGAGAGCGGCGCACGGGUGCGGAACACGUGUGCAACCUGCCUUUAUCUGGGGGAUAGCCUUUCGAAAGGAAGAUUAAUACCCCAUAAUAUAUUGAAUGGCAUCAUCUGGUAUUGAAAACUCCGGUGGAUAGAGAUGGGCACGCGCAAGAUUAGAUAGUUGGUGAGGUAACGGCUCACCAAGUCAGCGAUCUUUAGGGGGCCUGAGAGGGUGAUCCCCCACACUGGUACUGAGACACGGACCAGACUCCUACGGGAGGCAGCAGUGAGGAAUAUUGGACAAUGGGUGAGAGCCUGAUCCAGCCAUCCCGCGUGAAGGACGACGGCCCUAUGGGUUGUAAACUUCUUUUGUAUAGGGAUAAACCUAGAUACGUGUAUCUAGCUGAAGGUACUAUACGAAUAAGCACCGGCUAACUCCGUGCCAGCAGCCGCGGUAAUACGGAGGGUGCAAGCGUUAUCCGGAUUUAUUGGGUUUAAAGGGUCCGUAGGCUGAUGUGUAAGUCAGUGGUGAAAUCUCACAGCUUAACUGUGAAACUGCCAUUGAUACUGCAUGUCUUGAGUGUUGUUGAAGUAACUGGAAUAAGUAGUGUAGCGGUGAAAUGCAUAGAUAUUACUUAGAACACCAAUUGCGAAGGCAGGUUACUAAGCAACAACUGACGCUGAUGGACGAAAGCGUGGGGAGCGAACAGGAUUAGAUACCCUGGUAGUCCACGCCGUAAACGAUGCUAACUCGUUUUUGGGUUUUCGGAUUCAGAGACUAAGCGAAAGUGAUAAGUUAGCCACCUGGGGAGUACGAACGCAAGUUUGAAACUCAAAGGAAUUGACGGGGGCCCGCACAAGCGGUGGAUUAUGUGGUUUAAUUCGAUGAUACGCGAGGAACCUUACCAAGGCUUAAAUGGGAAAUGACAGGUUUAGAAAUAGACUUUUCUUCGGACAUUUUUCAAGGUGCUGCAUGGUUGUCGUCAGCUCGUGCCGUGAGGUGUUAGGUUAAGUCCUGCAACGAGCGCAACCCCUGUCACUAGUUGCCAUCAUUAAGUUGGGGACUCUAGUGAGACUGCCUACGCAAGUAGAGAGGAAGGUGGGGAUGACGUCAAAUCAUCACGGCCCUUACGCCUUGGGCCACACACGUAAUACAAUGGCCGGUACAGAGGGCAGCUACACAGUGAUGUGAUGCAAAUCUCGAAAGCCGGUCUCAGUUCGGAUUGGAGUCUGCAACUCGACUCUAUGAAGCUGGAAUCGCUAGUAAUCGCGCAUCAGCCAUGGCGCGGUGAAUACGUUCCCGGGCCUUGUACACACCGCCCGUCAAGCCAUGGAAGUCUGGGGUACCUGAAGUCGGUGACCGUAAGCAGCAGCUAACGAGGUAAAGCUGGGGAAGGAUACAAAAUUCCCC